GGUGGCGUAGCUCAGCCCGGUAGAGCAGGCGGCUCAUACCCGCUAGGUCAACAGUUCAAAUCUGUUCGCCACCA
This 74-nucleotide transfer RNA is filed under the name Candidatus Omnitrophota bacterium. RNAcentral describes it as "tRNA-Met". It matches the Rfam family "tRNA". Rfam says of the family: Transfer RNA (tRNA) molecules are approximately 80 nucleotides in length. Their secondary structure includes four short double-helical elements and three loops (D, anti-codon, and T loops). The record is from RNAcentral. Lineage: Bacteria; Pseudomonadati; Candidatus Omnitrophota.